CACCUCUAGCAUUUCAAGUAUUAGAGGCACUGCCUGCCCAGUGACUAUAGUUUAACGGCCGCGGUAUCCUGACCGUGCAAAGGUAGCAUAAUCAUUUGUUCCUUAAUUAGGGACUAGUAUGAACGGCUAGACGAGGGAUCAACUGUCUCUUAUUUUUAAUCAGUGAAAUUGACCUUCCAGUGAAGAGGCUGGAAUACAAUAAUAAGACGAGAAGACCCUAUGGAGCUUAAAUUAACAAGCUUAAUUAUUACACUACUAUACCCUAAUGGCACAAAACAAAAAAUAUAAGCUUAAAAUUUUGGUUGGGGUGACCUCGGAGAAUAAAAAAUCCUCCGAAAGAUAUAUAACAUAGACCUACAAGUCAAAGUAACCCAAUUAUCCAAUUGACCCAAAAAAUUGAUCAACGGACCAAGUUACCCUAGGGAUAACAGCGCAAUCCUAUUUAAGAGUUCAUAUCGACAAUAGGGUUUACGACCUCGAUGUUGGAUCAGGACAUCCCAAUGGUGCAGAAGCUAUUAAUGGUUCGUUUGUUCAACGAUUAAAGUCCUACGUGAUCUA
Molecule: ribosomal RNA, 558 nt
Filed under: Hylomyscus walterverheyeni
Lineage: Eukaryota; Metazoa; Chordata; Mammalia; Rodentia; Muridae
Description: partial 16S ribosomal RNA
Rfam family: Bacterial large subunit ribosomal RNA
Source: RNAcentral